RNAcentral lists this ribosomal RNA (753 nucleotides) under uncultured Veillonellaceae bacterium. RNAcentral describes it as "bacterial SSU rRNA". It matches the Rfam family "Bacterial small subunit ribosomal RNA", at positions 508 to 1257 of the family's 1533-position model. Lineage: Bacteria; Bacillati; Bacillota; Negativicutes; Veillonellales; Veillonellaceae. The record is from RNAcentral.
UCAGCAGCCGCGGUAAUACGUAGGUGGCAAGCGUUGUCCGGAAUUAUUGGGCGUAAAGCGCGCGCAGGCGGGAUAUUAAGUCUGUUUUAAAAGUUCGGGGCUCAACCCCGUGAUGGAAUGGAAACUAAUAUUCUUGAGUGCAGGAGAGGAAAGUGGAAUUCCCAGUGUAGCGGUGAAAUGCGUAGAUAUUGGGAGGAACACCAGUGGCGAAGGCGACUUUCUGGACUGUGUCUGACGCUGAGGCGCGAAAGCCAGGGGAGUGAACGGGAUUAGAUACCCCGGUAAUCCUGGCCGUAAACGAUGGGUACUAGGUGUAGGAGGUAUCGACCCCUUCUGUGCCGGAGUUAACGCAAUAAGUACCCCGCCUGGGGAGUACGGCCGCAAGGUUGAAACUCAAAGGAAUUGACGGGGGCCCGCACAAGCGGUGGAGUAUGUGGUUUAAUUCGACGCAACGCGAAGAACCUUACCAGGACUUGACAUCGAUUGAAAGUUCUAGAGAUAGAACCCUUCCCUUCGGGGAACAAGAAGACAGGUGGUGCAUGGCUGUCGUCAGCUCGUGUCGUGAGAUGUUGGGUUAAGUCCCGCAACGAGCGCAACCCUUAUCCUAUGUUGCCAGCGAGUAAAGUCGGGAACUCAUGGGAGACUGCCGCAGACAAUGCGGAGGAAGGCGGGGAUGACGUCAAGUCAUCAUGCCCCUUAUGUCCUGNGCUACACACGUACUACAAUGGGCUUAAAUAGAGGGAAGCGAAGCCG